GCUAACAUAGCUUAACUUAAAGCAUAACACUGAACAUGUUAAGAUGGGCCCUAGAAAGCCCUGCCAGC
This 68-nucleotide transfer RNA is filed under the name Chaeturichthys stigmatias (finespot goby). Its description in RNAcentral is "tRNA-Phe". Lineage: Eukaryota; Metazoa; Chordata; Actinopteri; Gobiiformes; Gobiidae. The record is from RNAcentral.